AGAAAACGAUAGCAAUAAACUUGACACGAUCAUAUGCUACGUUUAUAGUUUAGGUCUUGUCCAUCACAUCAUUCUCCCAAUGAUGUGAUCCCGUUAUCAAAUGACAACUCAUGUCUAUUGCUAGAAAACCAUAGCCAUCUUUCCACUAGAGACAUGUUGUUGUCUAUGUAUCCACACAUGUAUUUGAGUUUCCGACCAAUACAAUUAUAACAUGGAUAAUAAACGAUUAUCAUGAACAGGGAAAUAUGAUAAUAAGCAAUUUAUUAUUGCCUCUAGGGCAUAUUUCCAACACCCACAAGCCCUCAGGGCGCGCCCUGGGGGUAGGGUGCGCCGCCUAGCUUGUGGCCUCCUCAGUCACCUCCUGGUCUAGCUCCAGUGCUUCAAGAGUCUCUUUUGGUCCAUAAAAAAACACCGUAAAAUUUCAGCCCAUUCCGAGAACUUUUAUUUCUGCACAAAAAACAACACCACGAUAGCUCUACUGAAACAACGUCAGUCCGGGUUAGUUAUAAUCAAAUCAUACCAAAACCAUAUAGAAUUGUUACAAACAUCGCAUGAAUAUUUCAUAAAUUAUAAAUACGUUAGAGACGUAUUGUAACACCCCAAGCCAACAAAACGCUUGGAAUAUUACCACAAUUACCACAAACAACUUUGGGAAAGUGAACAUGCCCUCGAAGGAAAUUUCGGCAGAGUUUCCUCUAUUUCUAAGGACAUCCACGACAUGCAAUUCAUAUAAUUAUAUAACACAAGGAACAUAACAUAAGUGUAGAGCACCAAGCUACACUACCAUAACCGAGAACACCAGCGAUAACAUAAGACUUAGGAAGAGCUAAGUAAGACACGCAAACGAAAAGGGCAACUUCCAAACUUCAGGACAAACCACCAAGCUUAGCAAAGUAUAAACUAUACUAGGUUCUCAAAACAUGGUCCUAAAGUACAAUAUAUGUGAGUUUCGUGUAGUGAACAGGGUGGUGAUGCUACUCCCAAGACUCCCAUGCAUGCCGUCCUCAGGGUUUACCUAAAAACAUAUAAACAACAAGGAUGAGUACAAAGACUCAGCAAGUACAUACAAGAAUAAUAAGCGUUACACAUGUCAAGAUACCAAAUCUCUACUAAACACCAUACCCUCAUCAGCACCCAACACUAGUAUUCAUGUCCUACAUGCCUACAUGCUCAUCUCAUUUCAUUGCGUAUACCGGUAUCGCUUGAGUGGACGCCCGUCGACAUCCACUCACUCCAACGCAUGGAGGUUGCCUCCAAAGUAGGUCGCAACCCAACAAUGGAGGUCUCAAUGUGCCUACCCAAGGUAGGGACCUCUUUCUUUCACUAUCAUCAUGAGUGCAGAUAUGCAAAUGCAAGCAAAGUACUUGAAUCAACAUGUCUUUGUCAUCGUCAUCUCCAUCAUAAUAAACAUCAUUGACCUGGGCAAAUAUCAUGAUACAAAAAGGGCAGGGGAUAUGCAACGUCAUUAUCCUGUCAUGAACUUGCCUCAACCGCGAGGCACAACUUGUGGGUUAAAGGAUCCUGAACCAGAAGUACCAACACCUGUAAACAGGCAUAUAUCACAACCAAUACAAAAACAUGGACUUAUCAUCUAAACAUAUAUAAUUCAGCUUCGCUCCUACGCAUAAGACCACGGUGCAUAUCGAUCAACAUUGACGAAAUCUGAGAAUAUAUACUUGUUCCUCCACCCAAGUCCAUAUAUUAAAAUUCUGUCCAACAUAGUACAGCCCACCUUGAUAAUUUCAUAGGAUUUAAUAUACCAAACGAAAUCUAAUAAAUGAUAUGUGUUUAAGCAUCUACAGAACAGCCUGUACAAUUGUCAUGUUGUAACUUUAAUUUAAUUCAAUCUGUACCAUAUGAGAAUUCUGCACCCACGAAAAUAUAUUUCCGGACAGAAAACUAAAUUGAUGGCUGCUCUCAAAUCGUACAUCCAAACGAAGCAAAUAAGUACUCUACGGAAACCUUAGAACUUGCUUUACAAAUCAUAUAAAGGGACCAACUCGAAAUUCUGAGCAUAACUAACUCGUUUUUCACCUAGAAGCUGGCUGUCCAGAUCUGACAGUGCAGUUUUUCUGCAGUUUAUGUGCAGUUUUAACCGAACCAAGUUCAGUUUACAGGGAGAGAUACCCAAUGCUCCAGAUUUUUGCUUGGAAGCAAUCAACACCAUGCAACAUCAUAGAUGGGCUAUCCUCCCUAAUUGAUUUGGUUAAUCAAAGGACCAACAUAGGGAAGGUCCAGCCUGGGUGCCAAAACAAAAUAGGUACAAAUAUUGAAUCACCAACAAAAUUGUGAAUUGGUUCAUGAAUCCACCUCCAGUCCUCAAAUCUACUUCUAACAUAUGAGUUGCUGCCCCAAAUCCCUAAUUCUGACCUAGGAAGCACCAUAGAAAAGGAGAACUGGGACGUACCGCUAGCAACAACGACGCCCAGCAGCCAGCACUGCCCGGCAACGACCACUGAGAGGAGAGGCGUUGGGACAGCAGCAACCUCACGGGUCACGGCGGGGGUAGCCACCAGCAGCAGCGACGGCAGUAGCCUUUGUUCGGAAGACCAGAGGAAGGCUUUGGUGAGGGGAACAGAAGAAAAACAGGGUUUGAGCACAGCCUACAGCGGCGCAAGGUCGGGGGUAGCCACCAGCAGCAGUGACGGCAGUAGCCUUUGUUGGGAAGACCAGAGGAAGGCUUUGGUGAGGGGAACAGAAGAAAAACAGGGUUUGAGCACAGCCUACAGCGGCGCAAGGUCGGGGGUAGCCACCAGCAGCAGCGACGGCAGUAGCCUUUGUUGGGAAGACCAGAGGAAGGCUUUGGUGAGGGGAACAGAAGAAAAACAGGGUUUGAGCACAGCCUACAGCGGCGCAAGGAGCGACCGAGGGCCACCCCUUGUCUGACUGGGCCUUGAGCCCAUAUAGGAUUUUCUUUCCUCUCGUUUUAGAAGGGCUUAUAAAGAGCUGUAGUCUGAUAUUUAGACAAACACACCACAUAGACCAACUGGUAUUUGGCCUAGUUACUAAGAGCUGCAAGGUUCAAAUGCUAACACACCUUUUUUUUAUUUCUUUCCUUUUGCCUCUUCCAUUUAANNNNNNNNNNNNNNNNNNNNNNNNNNNNNNNNNNNNNNNNNNNNNNNNNNNNNNNNNNNNNNNNNNNNNNNNNNNNNNNNNNNNNNNNNNNNNNNNNNNNNNNNNNNNNNNNNNNNNNNNNNNNNNNNNNNCUCUCUCUCUAUUUCUCUCUCUCAUUUUGCUUUUCCUGUUCUUACAUCAAGUUCGAUAACCACUGACUCUACCUUAUUCAUCAGUUUAAACAUAAUAUAGGCACAGUUAUGUAGCCAACGAAAGCUAGGGUAUUACAUUCUCACCCCCUUAAGCAGAAUUCGACCUCGAAUUCUUCACCACGUUACUACUCACAAAACUGGUGUAGCUGAUAAGUAAGAAAUGGAAAAGAAAACCAUACACCAUGUACCGGUCUCGAACACUUCCGAAAUACUUCUCGCGCAUGCGCGACUCAAGCUUCCAAGUCGCCUCACGCUCGGAUUGUUGCGAUCUGAGAACCUUCACAUACUUAAGCGUCUUAUUCCUCAACACUCUCUCAGACUCUUCGAGUAUCCUCACACGGCGAGCCUCGAAAGUCACAUCUUGCUCAAUCAUAAUCGGUUCGACAAUCAGUUGUCGUUCGGGAUUUCAGAAGUACUUACGUAACAUGGAUACAUGGAAUACGUUGUGCACACCUUUCAUUGACUAGGGCAAGUCAAGAUGAUAGGCUAGUUUCCCCACUCGUGCUACUAUAAGAAGGGUCCAACGUACAGUGGGCUAAGCUUUCCUUUGAUAUUGAACCCAAUAACACCCUUGGUUGGAGAGACUCUUAAAAGUACCUAUUCUCCUUCCUCCUUCCUGAAACUCCACAUUCUGCCUCUUAGGAUCGGCAUAGCACUUUUGCCUACUCUGGGCUGCUAGCAUAUGGUGUCUAAUUUUAGCUAUCCUCUUCGUAUUUCUUUCAACCCAAUCUGGUCCCAACACUGCCUUCUCGUCCACUGCAUUCCAACAUACUGGAGACCUACACUUCCUUCCAUACAAGGCCUCAUAAGGUGCCAUCCGAAUGCUAGCUUGAUAACUGCUAUUGUAAGCAAACUCCACAAGCGGUAGAUGAUCCUCCCAGCUCCCUUGCCACGAUAGGACACAACACCGCAACAUAUCUUCCAAAGUUUGGAUGGUACGCUCUGACUGGCCAUCUGUUUGGGGAUGAAAUGUCGUGCUAAUCCUCAACUGUGUACCCAUUGCACUCUGCCAGCUCAACCAGAGAUACAAACUUGGCAUCUCUAUCAGAAGUAAGUCUUUGGAACUCCAUGCAAUCUUACUAUCUCAUGCACAUAUAUUGGUGCCAAGUCACUUGCCGAGUCUAUGGUUCGGAAAGGAGCAUAAUGAGCCACUUUGGUAAGUCGGUUCACCACCACCCAAAUUGCAUCCCUUCCCCUUCAAGUGCGAGGUAGGCCAACAGCAAAUCCAUGGCGAUGUCAUCCCAUGGCCACUUUGGAACCUCUAAGGACUGCAACAAACCAGCUGGUCUCUUAUGCUCCGCCUUCACAAGUUGACAGACCACACAAGAAGCCGCAUACUUUGCCACAUCAACUUUCAUCCUUUUCCACCAAUAAGUCCUCUUCAAAUCUUGAUACAUCUUUGUCUCUCCAGGAUGAACCGUAUAUGGGGUACGAUGUGCUUCUCUCAGAAUAUCCUCCUUGACCUGGGACUUUUGUGGCACACAAAGACAGCCAUGAAACCGAACAGAUCCAGUCCCAUCUAGAUUGAAAUCUCCAGUUCUACCUUCUUGGAUGCGCUUCCGCACCUCCAACAACAACCGGUCAUUCUGUUGUGCCUCUCUCACUCUGUCUGGGAUAGUUGACUGAAGGAUGAAUUGUGUCUCCUCAUGUGCUACACCAGCAAAACAAUAUGAGAUGCCUAUCCGCUCAAAAUCAGCAAUGUGACAACCUAAAGUGGGAGGGACAAUCUUGCGGCUAAGAGCAUCCGCAACCACAUUUGCUUUGCCAGGGUGGUACUGGAUUGAGAGGUCAUCGUCCUUUAUCAAUUCUAAGCAUCGUCUUUGCCUCAAGUUUAGCUCCUUUUGAGUGAAGAUAUAUUUGAGACUCUUAUGAUCAGUGAAAAUAUCACAAGAUUCUCCGUAAAGAUAAGGCCUCCAUAUCUUGAGUGCAAAGACCACAGCCGCAAGCUCUAGAUCAUGUGUAGGAUAGUUCUGCUCAUGCUUUUCCAGUUGCCUAGAAGCAUAGGAAAUUACCUUUCCAUCUUGCAUAAGAACGCACCCAAGACCAACCCGGGAAGCAUCAGAGUACACUGUGAAGCGUUUCCCAGGUUCAAGUUGUGUGAGAACUGGCGCAGUCACCAAUCUAUUCUUUAGUGUAGUGAAACUAUUCUCACAUUCAGCAUCCCACUGAAAUUUCACAUCCUUUUGGUGUUAGCUUUGUCAUUAGCUUGACGAUAAUAGAGAAUUCCUUCACAAAUUGCCGAUAGUAAUCAGCUAGGCCCAAGAAACUUCUUACUUCUUUAACAUUGGACAGUGGCUUGGCGAUCAAGGAUGUCUUCGAAUAGAUAAGAAUGUCUUCGAAUGUCCUACUCACGCACGCGAAUUCGAUUAUACCCAGACUGCAAAUCUAUCUUGAAGAACCCCUUAGCUCCCUUUGGUUGAUCGAACAAGUCUUGAAUGCAAGACAAAGUACUCUUAUUCUUGAUGGUGACGGCAUUAAGAGCACGAUAGUUCACACACAUUCGCCAGCUACCAUCCCUCUUAAGUAUGAAUAACACAUGUGCUCACCAAGGUGACACACUACGCCAAAUCAACCCCUUGGAUAACAUAUCAUCCAACUAUUUCUUCAAUUCUUCUCGAAGUGUUCGUGCCAACCGAUAUGGGGGCAUGGAGAUAGGUCGGGUACCAGGAAUAAGAUCAAUUCGGAAGUCCACAUCCCUCUCUAGAGGCAUACCAGGCAAAUCAUCAGGGAAAACAUCUACGUAAUCACAUACCACCAGAAUGGCUUUGAUUGGUAACAUAGUAUUCGGGGUCUCGGCAAGGGCCUAUAGAAAACCGGUCUUGACUGCUCGUUGGCCAGGAACAAGCUAGAUAGGACCGGUAGAAAGUGCGGAGCAGCAUCUCCCUGAAAGAUCAACUCACCAGAUGGGGCAGUGACAUGGUCCUCCAAAAACAUGAUCUCACGACAUGGUAUCGAUGUGGCCAAUCCAUGCCAAGAAUAACAUCGAAAGGCUUUAGUGGAAUCACCAUAAGAUUAGCAAUGAAAUCCUCAUCAUCUAUAGAUAUCACACACCCAGGGCGGACUAUGGAUGAAGAAAUUGGACCACCGGGAGAACUAACAAACACUGACUGAGCAAUUUUCUACCUAGAUAAGUUGGCCUUAUUUGCAAAUUCCGACGACACGAACGAAUAAGUAGGUCCAGAAUCGAAAAGGACAGGUGCAACAUGUGAGUCAACUGGAAGUAUACCUGGCAUGGAGUGAAUUCCAGGCUAUGGUCAAAUAGAGGAAGACCCAACACCCUGCUGUGGCGGUGCGGGUAGCUGAAGUGGAGCUGUCAAUGUAGGAAGAUUAGAUGAAGCCAACGGAACAGCCCGCCAAACGUAGCUAGGAGGUGGCAUACAUGCUGGUGUUAACUGGGGAGUAGUAGGGGCAGCGGCAAACACAUGCAUAGAUCACCGUGAUGAUGCAGGCAUUGGAUCCCACUUGAUAAUGCUGGCGGGGUUUUGACGAUAUGACAGUCCCUUAUGACCCUCACGACUGCAAUGGUAGCAUUUCCUAGUCCAGGCACACUCAGAAGCACGGCGUCCUUCACCAGAGUUGAAACAAAUCAUGCCUUGCCCUGGCACCGGGCGGAAAGACAGAGCCGCUAACGAAGAACGAGGCAUUGAAGAAGACUGUGACCUUGACUACUUGAACUUAGUUGUUUGUUGUGCACGAUGCUUCCCUUGAACUUCGUGAAAGAAGGUCGAUGGCAAACCCACUUCCACCACGGUAACUCCUCUUCGAGUCACCACCCGGGCCACUAGAACCUCUAGUGCGAUUCUCCCGGGCUUCUGUGAGGUGGACAUCCAACUCCAUCCCUCUAGCCUGCCUAACCAUUGUUAGGUAAUCUAUAGGGGAAUUUGCUCCAAUCACUUCUCUGUACUUUGAAUUCAGCCCCCUAAAUAAUGCCUUAGCCUUCUCGGCCUCAUUACACUUCACCCGAUCCACAAAAAGUACCAUCUUACUAAAUUCUGCCUCAUACUCAUCCACGGCCAACUUCCCUUCUUAAUGUAGUUCAACUUCAUCACCGACAUUUCCUCCUUGGAUGAUUCUAAAUAAUACUUUGCGGUGAAUUUUUGAACAAAAACUCUCAGAUGGGUUGCCCAUAAAUAGGGAUAUAAGCAGCACUGACUCCUGUCCACCAAUCAUCAGCAAGAUUCUUAAGGUUGAAGCGCACAAAUUGGGCUCUCUUUUGCGAAGUCAACUCCAUAGCAUCCAUAUAUUUCUCCAUGGUAUUCAACCACGAUGCUGCAUCCAUUGGUGUCCCAGAUCCAUCAAAGCAAUCAGUUUUCAAACUUAUUCAGUUUUUUUAGGAUCAUCCCUGGAUCAUUGGGCCCACCACUAUUAGCAGAUUCUCUUGCGGGUCCUCCUUCACGAUGACUAUGCUCACUUUCCGCAUAGGAUUCCUCUACAUGAUUGUUGCGUCCUCUACGACCACAGGCACAAGGACCACGACCACGACCUCUACCCCUUAAGCAUAGCUAUAAGUAGCAUAAUCAAUCAUCAACCCAAAAGUCAUGAUCAUAUGCCGACAUAAGUAUGUCAACAUGAAAUGAAAACAUUAACUUAAGUGUAAUGCAAUGCAUGACCCAACCCAUCCUAUUGUGCACCAGUGUGUCAAGUUUUAAUGUUGUUUAUCAUAAAGUCAAAGUUUUAGUCAAUGCCAAGUUCAUAACUGAGUUAUGUCGUUAUCCUAUCUUGAUACACACCAGGACCUAAAGCCCGCUUUGAUACCAACUGUAACACCCCAAGCCAACAAAACGCUUGGAAUAUUACCACAAACAACUUUGGGAAAGUGAACAUGCCCUCAAAGGAAAUUUCGGCAAAGUUUCCUCUAUUUCUAAGGACAUCCACGACAUGCAAUUCAUAUAAUUAUAUAACACAAGGAACAUAACAUAAGUGUAGAGCACCAAGCUACACUACCAUAACCGAGAACACCAGCGGUAACAUAAGACUUAGGGAGAGCUGAUUAAGACACACAAACGAAAAGGGCAACUUCCAAACUUCAGGACAAACCACCAAGCUUAGCAAAGUAUAAACUAUACUAGGUUCUCAAAACAUGGUCCUAAAGUACAAUAUAUGUGAGUUUCGUGUAGUGAACAGGGUGGUGAUGCUACUCCCAAGACUCCCAUGCAUGUCGUCCUCAGGGUUUACCUAAAAACAUAAACAACAAGGAUGAGUACAAAGACUCAGCAAGUACAUACAAGAAUAAUAAGCGUUACACAUGUCAAGAUACCAAAUCUCUACUAAACACCAUACCCUCAUCAGCACCCAACACUAGUAUUCAUGUCCUACAUGCCUACAUGCUCAUCUCAUUCAUUGCGUAUACCGGUAUCGCUUGAGUGGACGCCCGUCGACAUCCACUCACUCCAACGCAUGGAGGUUGCCUCCAAAGUAGGUCGCAACCCAACAAUGGAGGUCUCAAUGUGCCUACCCAAGGUAGGGACCUCUUUCUUUCACUAUCAUCAUGAGUGCAGAUAUGCAAAUGCAAGCAAAGUACUUGAAUCAACAUGUCUUUGUCAUCGUCAUCUCCAUCAUAAUAAACAUCAUUGACAUGGGCAAAUAUCAUGAUACAAAAAGGGCAGGGGAUAUGCAACGUCAUUAUCCUGUCAUGAACUUGCCUCAACCGCGAGGCACAACUUGUGGGUUAAAGGAUCCUGAACCAGAAGUACCAACACCUGUAAACAGGCAUAUAUCACAACCAAUACAAAAACAUGGACUUAUCAUCUAAGCAUAUAUAAUUCAGCUUCGCUCCUACGCAUAAGACCCCAGUGCAUAUCGAUCAACAUUGACGAAAUCUGAGAAUAUAUACUUGUUCCUCCACCCAAGUCCAUAUAUUAAAGUUCUGUCCAACAUAGUACAGCCCACCUUGAUAAUUUCAUAGGAUUUAAUAUACCAAACGAAAUCUAAUAAAUGAUAUGUGUUUAAGCAUCUACAGAACAGCCUGUACAAUUGUCAUGUUGUAACUUUAAUUUAAUUCAAUCUGUAACAUAGCCUAAUUUGCCAUAUGAGAAUUCUGCACCCACGAAAAUAUAUUUCCGGACAGAAAACUAAAUUGAUGGCUGCUCUCAAAUCGUACAUCCAAACGAAGCAAAUAAGUACUCUACGGAAACCUUAGAACUUGCUUUACAAAUCAUAUAAAGGGACCAACUCGAAAUUCUGAGCAUAACUAACUCGUUUUUCACCUAGAAGCUGGCUGUCCAGAUCUGACAGUGCAGUUUUUCUGCAGUUUAUGUGCAGUUUUAACCGAACCAAGUUCAGUUUACAGGGAGAGAUACCCAACGCUCCAGAUUUUUGCUUGGAAGCAAUCAACACCAUGCAACAUCAUAGAUGGGCUAUCCUCCCUAAUUGAUUUGGUUAAUCAAAGGAACCAACAUAGGGAAGGUCCAGCCUGGGUGCCAAAACAAAAUAGGUACAAAUAUUGAAUCACCAACAAAAUUGUGAAUUGGUUCAUGAAUCCACCUCCAGUCCUCAAAUCUACUUCUAACAUAUGAGUUGCUGCCCCAAAUCCCUAAUUCUGACCUAGGAAGCACCAUAGAAAAGGAGAACUGGGACGUACCGCUAGCAACAACGACGCCCAGCAGCCAGCACUGCCCGGCAACGACCACGGAGAGGAGAGGCGUCGGGGACAGCAGCAACCUCACGGGUCACGGCGGGGGUAGCCACCAGCAGCAGCGACGGCAGUAGCCUUUGUUGGGAAGACCAGAGGAAGGCUUUGGUGAGGGGAAUAGAAGAAAAACAGGGUUUGAGCACAGCCUACAGCGGCGCAAGGAGCGACCGAGGGCCACCCCUUGUCUGAC
RNAcentral lists this long non-coding RNA (10087 nucleotides) under Triticum aestivum (bread wheat). Its description in RNAcentral is "long non-coding RNA (TAES_LNC018205)". The record is from RNAcentral. Lineage: Eukaryota; Viridiplantae; Streptophyta; Magnoliopsida; Poales; Poaceae.